This 117-nucleotide non-coding RNA is filed under the name Clostridium cellulovorans. Its description in RNAcentral is "FMN sequence". It matches the Rfam family "FMN riboswitch aptamer (RFN element)". Rfam says of the family: The RFN element is a highly conserved domain that is found frequently in the 5'-untranslated regions of prokaryotic mRNAs that encode for flavin mononucleotide (FMN) biosynthesis and transport proteins. This element is a metabolite-dependent riboswitch that directly binds FMN in the absence of proteins. In Bacillus subtilis, the riboswitch most likely controls gene expression by causing premature transcription termination within the 5' untranslated region of the ribDEAHT operon and precluding access to the ribosome-binding site of ypaA mRNA. Lineage: Bacteria; Bacillati; Bacillota; Clostridia; Eubacteriales; Clostridiaceae. The record is from RNAcentral. RNAcentral also lists the same sequence under 1 other name.
GCACGUCUUCGGGGCGGGGUGUGAUUCCCUACCGGCGGUAUAGCCCGCGAGCCAUUAAUGGCAUGAUUUGGUGAAAUUCCAAGGCCGACAGUAAAGUCUGGAUGAAAGAAGAUAAAU